RNAcentral lists this ribosomal RNA (387 nucleotides) under uncultured bacterium. RNAcentral's name for it is "bacterial SSU rRNA". It matches the Rfam family "Bacterial small subunit ribosomal RNA", at positions 28 to 416 of the family's 1533-position model. The record is from RNAcentral.
AUUGAACGCUGGCGGCAUGCCUUACACAUGCAAGUCGAGCGGUAAGGCCCUUUCGGGGGUACACGAGCGGCGAACGGGUGAGUAACACGUGGGUGACCUGCCCUCAGCUCUGGGAUAAGCCUGGGAAACCGGGUCUAAUACCGGAUAUGACUCCAUGACGCAUGUUGUGGGGUGGAAAGCCUUGUGCGGCUGAGGAUGGGCCCGCGGCCUAUCAGCUUGUUGGUGGGGUGAUGGCCUACCAAGGCGACGACGGGUAGCCGGCCUGAGAGGGCGACCGGCCACACUGGGACUGAGACACGGCCCAGACUCCUACGGGAGGCAGCAGUGGGGAAUCUUGCGCAAUGGGCGAAAGCCUGACGCAGCGACGCCGCGUGAGGGAUGACGGCC